GACGGGGCCGCACAAGCGGUGGAGCAUGUGGUUAAUUCGACGCAACGCGAAGAACCUUACCAGGGCUUGACAUCCCCUGACCGCGUAUGAAAGUACGUUUUCACCUCGGGUGACAGGGAGACAGGUGGUGCAUGGUUGUCGUCAGCUCGUGUCGUGAGAUGUUGGGUUAAGUCCCGCAACGAGCGCAACCCCUACGUUUAGUUGCUAACAGGUGAAGCUGAGCACUCUAGACGAACUGCCGUUGACAAACGGAGGAAGGUGGGAUGACGUCAAAUCAUCAUGCCCCUUAUGACCUGGGCUACACACGUGCUACAAUGGUUGGUACAACGAGUUGCGAGUCGGUGACGGCGAGCUAAUCUCUUAAAGCCAAUCUCAGUUCGGAUUGUAGGCUGCAACUCGCCUACAUGAAGUCGGAAUCGCUAGUAAUCGCGGAUCAGCACGCCGCGGUGAAUACGUUCCCGGGCCCU
This 467-nucleotide ribosomal RNA is filed under the name uncultured Streptococcus sp. RNAcentral's name for it is "bacterial SSU rRNA". It matches the Rfam family "Bacterial small subunit ribosomal RNA", at positions 917 to 1381 of the family's 1533-position model. Lineage: Bacteria; Bacillati; Bacillota; Bacilli; Lactobacillales; Streptococcaceae. The record is from RNAcentral.